CGGCAAUGGCAGAUUGGGACCUACCACUGGAGGUAUGGGUAGCCCUGAAAUCGGAGGAAGGGGUAGCUUAGGGACGGUCACUGGAGGAACGGGUAGCUUAGGUACAGUUACCGGGGGAACGGGUAGCUUAGGGACUGUCACUGGAGGAACGGGUAGCUUGGGGACGGUCACUGGAGGAACGGGUAGCUUGGGGACGGUCACAGGAGGAACGGGUAGCUUAGGUACAGUCACUGGUGGAACGGGUAGCUUAGGGAUGGUCACAGGAGGAACGGGUAGCUUAGGGACGGUCACCGGAGGGACUGGUAGCUUAGGGACGGUCACCGGAGGAACUGGUAGCUUAGGGACGGUCACCGGAGGAACUGGUAGCUUAGGGGCUUUAGGGGAGUGCUUUCCGCCCUUCCGUGGGUUGCAAGAGCCGCAUGCGAGAGAAUGUUGGGGGAGAUAGAUAAUGCAAAU
RNAcentral lists this long non-coding RNA (456 nucleotides) under Arabidopsis thaliana (thale cress). RNAcentral's name for it is "long non-coding RNA (ATHA_LNC000689)". Lineage: Eukaryota; Viridiplantae; Streptophyta; Magnoliopsida; Brassicales; Brassicaceae. The record is from RNAcentral.